RNAcentral lists this ribosomal RNA (440 nucleotides) under uncultured bacterium. RNAcentral describes it as "partial 16S ribosomal RNA". It matches the Rfam family "Bacterial small subunit ribosomal RNA", at positions 338 to 795 of the family's 1533-position model. The record is from RNAcentral.
CCUACGGGAGGCAGCAGUGGGGAAUAUUGCACAAUGGGGGAAACCCUGAUGCAGCAACGCCGCGUGAGUGAAGAAGUAUUUCGGUAUGUAAAGCUCUAUCAGCAGGGAAGAAGAUGACGGUACCUGAGUCAGAAGCCCCGGCUAACUACGUGACAGCAGCCGCGGUAAUACGUAGGGGGCAAGCGUUAUCCGGAUUUACUGGGUGUAAAGGGAGCGCAGACGGUGAGACAAGUCAGAAGUGAAAGCCCGGGGCUCAACCCCGGGACUGCUUUGGAAACUGCCUGACUGGAGUACUGGAGAGGCAAGCGGAAUGCCUAGUGUAGCGGUGAAAUGCGUAGAUAUUAGGAAGAACCCCGAUUGCGAAGGCAGCAUGCCGGCUUCCGACUGACGCUGAAGCACGAAAGCGUGGGGAUCGAACAGGAUUAGAUACCCUAGUAGUC